Triticum aestivum (bread wheat) is the source of this 3171-nucleotide long non-coding RNA. RefSeq lists it as uncharacterized. The record is from RefSeq and is a predicted model, not a curated record. Lineage: Eukaryota; Viridiplantae; Streptophyta; Magnoliopsida; Poales; Poaceae. The transcript has 5 exons.
UCGGAACAGAGUGCGAGACAAAACUGUCGUACGUGGGUGGGAAGAGAGAUAGAGCAGAUCUUUUCGUCCCACGCAGCUCCUCUCUCUCGUCUCAUUUUUCCCACCCGGACCGGCGGCUAGGGUUCCGCCUGUGCCGCCAUCCCUGCUCCUCCAGUCCCGUCCACUGGAGAAGGUGCCCUCCUGAGACCUGCUUCUCGCCCUUCGCAUCAAGGUGUGGGUGCCAGAGGAGCAGUGAUGGCCGACGGCCUCGUGGCAGCGACGACCAGCAGUGAGCUGCGGCGGCUCGCAGUGGAGGAGCAGCAGCGACGACCGGCAGAGAGCUGCGGCGGCUCGCAGUGGAGGAGCAGCAGCGGUCGACGGCGGCCUGGACAUGGCGGCCGUCACGGGCAGAGCCGGGCGAAGAGGGCGCGGUGGCGGGGCAUGAUCUGGAGAACCGGUGGGCGGUGGUUUAAAAUCUGGGCGGGCGCGACCAGCGCGAGUUGGAGACGAGGUGACGGCGUUGACCAGGACACCGUCGCAGAUCUCCAUCUUGCCGUCGGGAGAGGAGCUCGUCCAGGAUCCCCUCUUCUCCAUAGAUCCGCGACGGAGGUGCUGGACGACAUGAAGAUCGUCAAGGUGCGCCCCCAUGCCCCCUCCCCAUGUCUGGGUAUGCUAGGUAGUGCAAUUCUUGUUUCCUGUCAUGGUUCUCUGUAGUUUUAAACGCCUCUGAAUAGGUCGCACUCCAGAUCCCGUGUUUGCGGCAUGGCACCACUUUGACACAGAGUGAGCUUUCUUCUUCACUAACCAACACAUUACAGGUAACUCUGUUUCCAAUCUAGAGAUGAUACAUACAGAUGUAGCAAAAUCAAAAGUUGUUUCUGUAUUCAGAAUAAAUUAGAGUAACAAGCAUUAGAAUUCAGGUACAACCACUCUUUGCUUGUCUGCUACCCGUGAUAAAAUUAAUGCACAUUACAUCUAAGUUGGUUCCAGUGUCAUAUUCUACCAACAGCCCACUCAAAUUGUUCCACAACUCUCUAUUUUUAGCUAUGAUUGUGUUGUGACUGUACUUAGUUCUCAUCACGUUUCUUUCGAUGGAAAUUCAGGGAGGGUGAUGUGCUUGAAGAUGACCUCAUUGGGAGUCUGAAAGUGUGUCUCCCUUGGCAUAAGCACCAUGGGAAGCAGAGACAACCGCCUCCGUCCUGCUCCAACAUCGCCGUCCGUCGACACAACGAACAAGAAACGCAUCAACAAGAGAAGCACGGCACAUAUAUUUAAUGUUGUUGCAAUUGGUAAGAUAAUGGGAUGCAACACUUAUUUUACCAGUUCUAAAGCAUGACUAAGUAUGGAAAGACCAGAGGCAAGUGUUAUUUUCUCUUGUAAACUUCUUUUGCUUGUCUAUCUCCCUACUGGUAUGCAGGUCUUUAAUUGAUAGUUUAUUAUAUAUAGUUUGCUUUAUAUAGAGUCAUUAUAUAAAGUGAUCUCAAGGCAUUGGGCAUCCUAAUGGUAAGUGCAUUACACAUCAUGCCAGAUCAUGAAUUUUGCAAGAAUAGGCAUUUCUUGGCUCCUCACAUCCUUCAUCCAAGAUUAAUCUCAGUAUGGUCUGGCUAUACUUUACAUAAACUGUAUACUCAACUGUUAAACAAGUACACAGAAUGACAGAAGUACUUAGAAUGCAUCAUUUUGCUCAUGAACUGGACUGAACUUGCUUUACAGAAGUACUGCAUGCACUUCUAUUUUUUAUCCGACGAUAUGGCACAUAAGUUAAUGCCAAAUCCAGUGUAAAGUAAUUCUUUUGUAAGUCGGCAUCCUUAUUUUUGCAUAUGUAUAUUUUGAUUCGAGGCGCAAAGGUCAAGCUUACGGUGCAUGUUCUUUUAGGGUCCUAGGAAGAAGAGUACCUUUUCCUUGGAAUCGGGAGCGUAGGGCAAUGGCCAUGGGGUACCAUGUUGAAAAGUAGGGAGAUGUGGUAGUUUGUUUUGCUCAUCUGAAGUUCGGCAUGUUUUAUUGACAUCUUGUAAGGCUACAGGUAAAACAAUGUGGAGUCUCUUUUAUUGGCAUGUUUCUGUCUUGGUAAGCAUGCAUCAAACAGGCUUAGGUUGGUUAGAACAAGGUGUAGCGGUCAAGAGAUGAUGCUGUAAGAUUAUUAGACUGCUGUUAUUUCUGGUCUGCAUGCAUUUCUGGCCGGACCAGCUGGUUAACUGAUGCGGCACUGUGUCAGUGAAACUGGGGCAAUAUUUUCAUUGCUGUAUACUAUUGUUACACAUACGAUUUCAUAGUUUGGCAAGUAUCACCAAAUUUGUGGUUAAGUCAUUUCUGAAUAAUGUUUAGUUUCCCGCUUGGCAUGCUUCUUUACAUCAAUCGAUCAGAUUCACCGCCGUUGGCCAGAGUUGCGCCUAAUUCAUACUGAUGUUAAGGAUGAAUUCUCUGUUUUCUAAUAGGUCAGACUGGAUUCUAUGUUCUGUCCAUGCCCUGUUCACUGGCAUUGCCUCUUGAUUCCCCUCUUAAGUAGAAGAUCCACACUAAGCAUAGCAAGUCCACUAGAGGAGCAAAUGUUGUUUAUCACCGCAUCUCUUCUCAUGUUGACAAGCAAGCCAGAUAUAUAUGAAGGCACCAUACAAGGCGGCGACGGCUUACCCGCUCAAUACCUGCAGCCCCUGGUACGGACAGGAAAAUAUGCUGAGCUUCUCGGCCUCGACGAUGUCCUCGUGCCUCUCUCUAAAAUGGCAGAUCUGUUUGUUUCUCUGGUGGGACUGCAGUUCUUCCGAAGCUUUGCUUUUCGCGAUGAGGAGAUUCGAGUGCAUCUUAAUUAUUGACACCUCAUUCUAUGACAAGCUCGGCAAGAAAGGCGGCAGCUGACGGGACGAUGUACCGAGGCCUGCGGCGGACUCAGCAGGAUGGAAAGCAGCGAGCAACGAUGCAUACUUCACGGAAGCCUACUGUUUCUCCUCGCCAAGACCUAAGAUAGCAUGAGGUCCGCGCAGAUAGAGGCACUCAUGCAGGAAAGAGACGAGGGAGCAGCUGGUGGUCCGGACGACGAAGAUCAGCUGAACGUUGGCUCCCAUGAAGUUGAUUGAUUGUGCCUCCGCUUUUGUGCCGCUUGCGUUGCUUUUGAACCACUGUCAUUUGUGUCAUUGGUGAUGUAAACUAUAUAAGGACAUAUCAAUAAUAUCUAUGACUCCUAAGGCUAUUCUCUUA